This 496-nucleotide ribosomal RNA is filed under the name uncultured bacterium. RNAcentral's name for it is "partial 16S ribosomal RNA". It matches the Rfam family "Bacterial small subunit ribosomal RNA", at positions 28 to 507 of the family's 1533-position model. The record is from RNAcentral.
GAUGAACGCUGGCGGCGUGCCUAAUACAUGCAAGUCGAGCGAACAGAUGAGGAGCUUGCUCCUCUGACGUUAGCGGCGGACGGGUGAGUAACACGUGGAUAACCUACCUAUAAGACUGGGAUAACUUCGGGAAACCGGAGCUAAUACCGGAUAAUAUAUUGAACCGCAUGGUUCAAUAGUGAAAGACGGUUUUGCUGUCACUUAUAGAUGGAUCCGCGCCGCAUUAGCUAGUUGGUAAGGUAACGGCUUACCAAGGCAACGAUGCGUAGCCGACCUGAGAGGGGGAUCGGCCAAACUGAACCUGAGAAACGGUCCAGACUCCUACGGGAGGCAGAAGUAGGGAAUCUUCCGCAAUGGGCGAAAGCCUGACGGAGCAACGCCGCGUGAGUGAUGAAGGUCUUCGGAUCGUAAACUCUGUUAUUAGGGAAGAACAAAUGUGUAAGUAACUAUGCACGUCUUGACGGUACCUAAUCAGAAAGCCACGGCUAACUACGUG